CGGAUCUACCAGCUUCUCCCUCUCCGCCCUUUGUGUCUAGAGCAUGAGCCGCUCCAACUGAACCUCCAUGACCACGUCUAUCUCCUUCAGUGGUUACCUCUCAUUUUCCUUCUGCCUCUUCCUUGGUCAUUCUCUUUCACAGCUUCAAAUCUCACCUCUGUUUAAGUGUCUUGACAUGAUGGAUAGCCCUGAGUUACUGAUGAAAACAUGUAGCUCUCAAGAACUCUAAAUUCUUUUACCCGAUUGAGGCAAAAUUAAGCACACUUGAAGACAGCUUCUUAAAGAGGAGGCUCAUCUACUAGAGUGUAAUGUUUGAUACAGGAAAUCUAUUUCAUUCCCCCUAUCCCUUAAUCCUAGGGACAGAGGGCUUCUCCUUCUCAGGUUUCAAGGCUUGAGUAGAUGUUUGAUGCUAACACGGCAGAUGAAUGAAAUGAGCUCUUUUGGUAUUCAUCUUAGCAUCCCCUAGGCUGGGGUCCAUCCCACAGUCUUCUGGGGAAAGCCCCAAAGAGCAGAGUGAAGUGUCAGCAGGCGUCUCCAGGACCAUCAGAAGAUACCCACACAGUGGCCUCAGAUGCCUGGCUCCACACUGGUGUUUUGUGAGCUCAAUGCUCUGCUUCCUGACAUCACAAACAGGGGACAAUAAUCAGCAGCUUCUUUCUCCUCACCCAGAUGGCAGGUAGUAGCAGCUCCAGGAUGACAUCGUAAAGCGCCGUUUACUUCACCAACAUCAGACAACUGUCAGCUCCAAGGACUCACUGACGGCUUUUAGCAUGCCAGGACGCAGUCGACAGCUGCGCAGAGACUGGUGCAGGCGCGAACUUCAUCUGCUGCUAUCUUUAUCACCUAAGCGGUGGCGUCUCCCAUUGAGCCCUCCAAUGACAGCCUGUUCAGGCUGAGGCUGCCUGCUAAGGCAAAACAUCCAGCGGCAUCAAGCUCCAGAACUACUGAAGUGGCCCAGUCGGUGGUUGUGUUCCUGGCAGUGCCAACCAAUCUGAUUUUAUGAUUUCUCCCAAUAAAAAUCUUUUUUUAAACAAAA
This 1036-nucleotide long non-coding RNA is filed under the name Equus asinus (donkey). RNAcentral describes it as "lncRNA (ENSEASG00005032339.1)". Lineage: Eukaryota; Metazoa; Chordata; Mammalia; Perissodactyla; Equidae. The record is from RNAcentral.